UUUGUUGGGAAUCGGGGUUUUGGGGGGUUUCCUUUUUGCUGCUGUUUCAUUCCUUAUCCACCAGAUGGCGUCUACAGGCGGAGGUUUCUCUGGAGGGACUGGCCUUGGUUCAGCGCACCGGUGUUUAAUCACCUCUUCAGUCAUGGAGCUUAAGAGGAGCGGACUACCAGUACUUCGUCGCUUGAGUGUUAGCCUAUAUGCUAUUCCUUCGUGACGCCAAGCGGCCUCCUUGAAGAAUCCUUCCUGGUUUGACUCACCUCGAGACACCACCUACCCACGGGUUGCCCGAGCCCCGUUUCCGUUCCUUCGGCCGGAUCUCAAAGCCUCUUCCGGAUUAUUCGGCGGAUUGUGGAUCCGCUCCUCGUCUGUCCUCCACCACUGAAACCACUGGCCCGCUCUCUGCCGCAGCCUCCUCCGAUCCUCCUGGACGCCACUCGAACUUACUGUAAGCCCAAGACCCGGUAUCCACCGGAGUGCCUCCAGGACUGUCAUCAUCAUUUUCCCAAUGUGCGGACCUCCCCCAGAAGCCCUCUCCUGACAGUUCGUCGUUCUAUCCACCGAAUCUGUGUUUACAUUAAUAAACUAUAUUUUGCUGA
Molecule: long non-coding RNA, 596 nt
Organism: Xiphophorus couchianus (Monterrey platyfish)
Lineage: Eukaryota; Metazoa; Chordata; Actinopteri; Cyprinodontiformes; Poeciliidae
Exons: 3
Source: RefSeq, a predicted model, not a curated record